Molecule: long non-coding RNA, 1400 nt
Organism: Oncorhynchus tshawytscha (Chinook salmon)
Lineage: Eukaryota; Metazoa; Chordata; Actinopteri; Salmoniformes; Salmonidae
Exons: 3
Source: RefSeq, a predicted model, not a curated record
AAUGCCCAAGUUGCAAGACAAGAGAGAGGAAGAGGACGACGACAACAACAACAACGACAAGUAAUCUCAGAUGAAAUCCGUGCCACCCUAGUUUAUCAUGUGCUCAUACAUGGGAGGACUAUGAGAGAACCUGGACAGCUAGUGCAACCCAACCUAAGCCGUUACAUGGUUGCAUCCAUUGUCCGUACUUUCAGAAGGGAAAACGGGACUGAGAGGUAUUGGAGGUAGGCGGAGACUUCUCACAGCUGAGCAGGAGACUGCCCUGGAGAAUAUGGUGAUUGUCAAUAAUGCCAUCUGUUUGAGGGAAAUUCAAACCCAAAUAGUUGAAAACCUGGUAGUUUUCCAAGGAAUUGACAGUGUCAGCAUUUCCACCAUUGACCGGAUCGUUCAGAAGACCCAAAUAAGGACAAAGCAGCUGUACUGUGUGCCUUUUGAAAGGAAUUCAAACAGAGUUAAGGAGCAACAAUUCCAGUAUGUGCAGAGAAUCUUUCAACUGGAUGCCAUGGCUGACCCACAGGAGUACAUCUUCAUCGACUAGGCAGGGUUCAACCUAACAAAAGGGGGCACAACAUUAUUGGUCACCUGUACAAUAACAUUCUUCAACAGGAUGGGGAGCCAGGGCAACCAGAGCAAGCCUAAUAUGUUGUCAUUUAGGAUAACGUGAGUUUCCAUGGGGCUGCUCUGGUUCGCUCCUGGUUCAAUGACCACCCCAGGUUCACUAUUUUUUUUGCCAGUAUAUUCCCCAUUUCUGAAUCCGAUUGUGUAAUUUUUCUCAGCAUGGCGGUGGAGAGUAUAUGACAGCAACCCUUACACAUAGCAAAACCUCCUGGGGACAAUGGUGGACGCCUGUGGUGAUGUGUCUGUGGAGUCUAUCCAGGGUUUUCUAAGGCAUUUUGCCUGUAGUCUGUGUUUUUUUUUUUUUUUUACAGCUUGUGUGUGUUGUCUGAGGGCAAAGUUUGAAUUGGGAUCCGGAAGUUAAAUUUCUGUACCGUUGGUGUGAGUUUUUAAAAUUGUGUGUGAAGAUUUGAGAAAAUGGUGAGUUGUUCCAGGAAUUGUCCAAGCAAUUGAGAAAAGUUGUAAAAAGCCUUGAAUUAAUGUGAACAUGGACGAUGGAGCGUUUCCUUCCAACACAUUGUUUUGCACUAGUCUCUGCACUAUUCCUUUUAAAUCCAAGUCACAUUGAGAUUGACUUAAUCAUUUAAACCUAACCUAUGAGCAGACCCAUCAUCUUAUGAAUGACUGCCCCCAAGUUGCAAGUUACAUCCCAAAAAACACACAAGAAUCUAUAGAAUACAAAUGGCUUAUAGCCUUCCACGCAUGCUUUCUGUCCCUAACCAGUUUUCCUUAUAACCAUUUACAGGUGAUGAAUUACCUGACGCAUUAAAAUUACUCACGACAGG